GACGAACGCUGGCGGCGUGCUUAACACAUGCAAGUCGAGCGGUAAGGCCCUUUCGGGGGUACACGAGCGGCGAACGGGUGAGUAACACGUGGGUGACCUGCCCUCAGCUCUGGGAUAAGCCUGGGAAACCGGGUCUAAUACUGGAUAUGACUCCAUGACGCAUGUUGUGGGGUGGAAAGCCUUGUGCGGCUGAGGAUGGGCCCGCGGCCUAUCAGCUUGUUGGUGGGGUGAUGG
Molecule: ribosomal RNA, 234 nt
Filed under: uncultured bacterium
Lineage: Bacteria
Description: partial 16S ribosomal RNA
Rfam family: Bacterial small subunit ribosomal RNA
Source: RNAcentral